Molecule: ribosomal RNA, 429 nt
Filed under: Pseudomonadota bacterium
Lineage: Bacteria; Pseudomonadati; Pseudomonadota
Description: Proteobacteria bacterium partial 16S ribosomal RNA
Rfam family: Bacterial small subunit ribosomal RNA
Source: RNAcentral
UGGGGAAUAUUGGACAAUGGGCGAAAGCCUGAUCCAGCCAUGCCGCGUGUGUGAAGAAGGUCUUCGGAUUGUAAAGCAUUUUAAGUCGGGAGGAAGGGCAGUAAGCGAAUACCUUGCUGUUUUGACGUUACCGACAGAAUAAGCACCGGCUAACUCUGUGCCAGCAGCCGCGGUAAUACAGAGGGUGCAAGCGUUAAUCGGAAUUACUGGGCGUAAAGCGCGCGUAGGUGGUUCGUUAAGUUGAAUGUGAAAGCCCCGGGCUCAACCUGGGAACUGCAUCCUAAACUGGCGAGAUAGAGUAGGGCAGAGGGUGGUGGAAUUUCCUGUGUAGCGGUCAAAUGCGUAGAUCUAGGAAGGAACACUAGUGGCGAAGGCGACCACCUGGACUCAUACUGACACUGAGGUGCGAAAGCGUGGGGAGCAAACAGG